This is a long non-coding RNA of Triticum aestivum (bread wheat), 1997 nucleotides long. RefSeq lists it as uncharacterized. Lineage: Eukaryota; Viridiplantae; Streptophyta; Magnoliopsida; Poales; Poaceae. The transcript has 3 exons. The record is from RefSeq and is a predicted model, not a curated record.
UAUUAUUAGAAAUCUAUGCCUACGGCAAAGCCGUCGGCAUAGCUACGCCCACGGAACGGUAGAGCCUUGGAUCGAUGACGUGGCGUAGGGCGGGGAUCGAUGAUGUGGCAAAAUCCAUGGGCCAGGCCUAUGCCGACGGUAAGGACGUCGGCAUAGAUAUGCCACCCCACGGGACCGGCGAGCGACGCGGAUCGAUGACGUGGCGGCGCUGUGGAUCGAUGACGUCGGCAUAGCUAUGCCGACGGUCACCGUUAGCCCGUCGGCGUAGCCUGACGCCGUCAAACGGUCGUCGCUGCCCGAGUAGACGGGCCCACAUGAUAUGCCGACGGCCUACCUUAUGCCGACGGCUGCCGUAGGCAUAUUUGAAGCAACGCCGACGGCUGAUCUCGUCGGCAUAGAUGGACAUACGCCGACGGCCUUUCUAUGCCGACGGCUUUAGCUGGGCCGUCGGGGUAUGCCCAUCUAUGCCAACGGGGGCCGUCGGCAACGCAAGUUUUUCUGGUAGUGAACAAAGGGUACCAGGUAACUACAAGAUGCAUUGCUUGCUGGUUUGUCACCAUAUUUAACCUGAUGGGAGAUAAUAUGAAUACCUUGCUGGUUUGGUAUGAUAUUUGGCCUGAGUGGAGAUAAGAUGAAUUGCUUGCUGGUUUAUCUGAGUAACUUGGUUGCACUGAUAAUAAAAGCACAUGUUAUCCAUUUCUCCCUUGCUAUUUCUGUUUGGGGAAGAUUAUAGUUUGACCACUCAGUAGAAAUCAAAUGCUUCACAUUGGAAUGUUUGUUGGAUAAGAAGGUAUAAAAACUAAACGGUGUUGCACUCUCAUGGCUUUUCUUCUUUAUUAUGUUUGGUGUUCAAGAUACUUAUGCGGUUAUGCCACCAUGUAAAAUAUUUAUACUUCUCUCUUGGUGUGCAGCUAUAUCUGAAAUUCUUGAUAAUGCAGUAGAUGAGGUUUGUAAUAUCUUCUAACAUCUUAUAUGAACUAGAUACUCGCUAUUUAAAUUGCGUGAUAAUACUCAAAUGUCCGAAACACGUAGUAUUCUGUUGUAAGCUGAAAAUUUGAGAUGACACAUUCCUGUUUCUGGAAAAACCAUGCUAUACUGCUAUCACAUCUAUUUAUUUAUUUUGCUGUAUUCGUGUAUUAUAACAUAAAUGCUCUGUUGAUCAGCAUGUUAAUAACUUCACUCCCUAACAUAUGCUCAUAACUGAUGGCGGCGACAUGGAACAACACUUCUGUGCGAUUGGUACUGUAAAUCUGGGAACUGAAAUAAUUAUAACCAGUGUUACAAAUGUUUGUUGAGGAAAAGUCCUUGCAGCAAACAAGGACCGGAAGCAGGUUUCCUAUUUUGACCAGCAUUUUCUUUUGUUCCUAAUUGUUGGCUCUUUCCUAUGGAAGCUCUGAAACAAAAUGAAGUGGCCUAAAAUUAAGGACUAAUGCUUGAUAUCUGAUUUGAGAAAACUGAUUCACAGAAUAUAAGUAGAAGGUAGACUGUAGCAUUCAUCAUUGUUAUCUUACAUAGACAGUUCAACGAACUUCUCCGAGGGGAUAUUCAGAAUGAUGACGGCGACAAGCAAGACGGCGUCUGUGAAGUUUUGCUGAAGAGCCUGAAGUCAGGGGAGGGAAGUUGAGAAGCCAGGACACCAACGGUGCCAAGCCGUUUGCCAUCGAGAGGACAAGGGCUGCCAUCAGGGACCUCCAGACCAAGCUCAACAUCUCCCUCGCCUCCGUCAGCCCCGUGUCUCAAGAGGGUUGUCGCCGUUGCCGUCCGUGAUGGCUGGCAAGGAUGUGGCGAGUCAUCGGCUACACGCACCGGGUGAUGAAGCACAUGGAGGACGAGGCAAGCACGCGGAAGCAUCAAGGGCCUGCCGCCACCGCCGGGGCCGACUUCCACGGAAUUUCUAUUGAUGUAGCUUAUCUUGCCAAACAGCAAGAUGCUCCUGUCGAUGCUUGCCUGUGAUGGCAUGGCAUUUCAGCUUCUUCCUCGCAUGAUUUUCCAAUAUA